RNAcentral lists this transfer-messenger RNA (369 nucleotides) under Candidatus Nitrotoga fabula. It matches the Rfam family "transfer-messenger RNA". Rfam says of the family: Bacterial tmRNA, also known as 10Sa RNA or SsrA, is named for its dual tRNA and mRNA-like properties. Lineage: Bacteria; Pseudomonadati; Pseudomonadota; Betaproteobacteria; Nitrosomonadales; Gallionellaceae. The record is from RNAcentral.
GGGGGCGACUUGGCUUCGACGUGGGUAGCAAAGCAGAGUAGGGCAUACCGAGGACCCGCAACCUCGUAAAUCAGCUGGAAAAAAAUAGUCGCAAACGACGAAAAGUACGCUUUAGCCGCUUAAUCGGUUAAACCUCACACCCCACUGUCCGUGGAGGGGCUCAAAGCCGCAAGGCUGCGAUGAGUGAGGUCAUAUACACGGAAUCGUGUCAUGCAGGGUUACUUUGCCUGGCAUUAAAUUUAGGUGACUUGUCCGUUAGCAGCCUGUCGGUUGGUGUCUAUCGGAUGAAAACUAAAUAACCUGACUAAGUAUGUAGAACUGCCUGUAGAGUGCUUGCGGACGCGGGUUCAAUUCCCGCCGCCUCCACCA